GAUAAACGCUGGCGGUGUGCUUUAUGCAUGCAAGUCGAACGGUCUUGAUUUAUCAAGAUAGUGGCGAACGGGUGAGUAACACGUAAGUAACCUGCCCCUAAGUGGAGAAUAACUUCGGGAAACUGAGGCUAAUACUGCAUGUGAUAGCAGUGGUAAUGCAUUGUUAUUAAAGCCUUCGGGCGCUUGGGGAGGGGCUUGCGGUCGAUUAGCUAGUUGGUAAGGUAACGGCCUACCAAGGCUUCGAUCGAUAGCUGGUCUGAGAGGAUGAUCAGCCACACUGGGACUGAGACACGGCCCAGACUCCUACGGGUGGCUG
RNAcentral lists this ribosomal RNA (316 nucleotides) under uncultured Chloroflexota bacterium. RNAcentral's name for it is "bacterial SSU rRNA". It matches the Rfam family "Bacterial small subunit ribosomal RNA", at positions 28 to 351 of the family's 1533-position model. The record is from RNAcentral. Lineage: Bacteria; Bacillati; Chloroflexota.